CCAAACUUGGUCAUUUAGAGGAAGUAAAAGUCGUAACAAGGUUUCCGUAGGUGAACCUGCGGAAGGAUCAUUAAACAAUAUGACUCUAAUCCUUUAUCCACCUUGUGUGCAACUUGAGAAAAAGCCUACUUUGGGAGGAUUAUGGAAGAUUAUUCAUUUAAUCUUUCCAAAGAGGUCAUCCUUCCAAAGAGGUCAUCACAAUCGAUUGCUUUUUUCUUUUCUUUUAUCAUUAUCUAAAUAUAAAUCGAAAUAAAAACAACUUUCAACAACGGAUCUCUUGGCUCUCGUGUCGAUGAAGAACGCAGC
RNAcentral lists this unclassified non-coding RNA (306 nucleotides) under uncultured fungus. RNAcentral's name for it is "partial contains small subunit ribosomal RNA, internal transcribed spacer 1, and 5.8S ribosomal RNA". The stretch from base 1 to 73 matches the Rfam family "Eukaryotic small subunit ribosomal RNA", at positions 1759 to 1831 of the family's 1831-position model. Lineage: Eukaryota; Fungi. The record is from RNAcentral.